UUUGGAUUUUUUUUUUUAAAUUUUUAUUUAUUUAUGAUAGUCUCACAGAGAGAGAGAGAGAGAGGCAGAGACACAGGCAGAGAGAGAGGCAGGCUCCAUGCACCGGGAGCCCGACGUGGGAUUCGAUCCAGGGUCUCCAGGAUCGCGCCCUGGGCCAAAGGCAGGCACCAAACCGCUGCGCCACCCAGGGAUCCCUGAUUUGGAUUUUUGAACAAGUUGUUUCCCUCCUUACGUAGCUUUGAAUCCCCCAAGUCCUUGCUGAUAGUGUUAACCUGGUCAUAUUUUUAUAACUCAAGGAAAACUUUAGCUGCACCAGAGAGAGGAGCUUUCAUGAGGCAAAGUUCCUGAGGAGUCGGAUUUGGGGAUAAUCCACUGCCAAACUUUAUGUUCCUGAAGUCUCCACCAGGAAUGUUGCCCAGAUGUCUCCUUUCCUCUCACAGGAGGUAGAGGGGAAGAGGUCAGACACUGGAAAACACAACGGUGAGAUUCUGAGGAGAAGAGUGGGUGGGCCACCUGCUGGUGAGACAGAGACAGGAUACAAGACCCCCGACAAGUCACCUGUAUGUUGCUUUCCUUCACCUUUUUGAUUUAGGAAACACUGGUUAACUGAGAGGCCAAGAGAAUGUGGCAUUUUUAAUUUGGCUACCGCUCCUGAGCCAUUAUGAUCCUCAAAGAUGCCCCUACCGUGGGAUACCAUGAUACACAACUUGUCUCUUGGCAGAUUUCUUAGGUCUGAUCCACUAGAAAUCACAGUGAUUCCAUCUUCUCCCUCUGUGCUGGGCAACAUGGUAGCCAUGAGCCACGCGUGGCUACUUACAGGUGAACUAAUUAAAAUGAAGUAAAAUGUAAAGUUCAGUUCUUUAGUCACCCUGGCCACAUUUCAAGUGCCAUCUAGCCACGUUGGACAGUGCAGAUAGAACAUGUAUGCCAUUGCAGAAAGUUCUACUGGACAGUGAUGUUCCAGUUAUCCGAGAUAGAAGUUGAAAGUGCCAGGUUAUGGAAGGAUCAGCCAGGGAACUUGUUCCAAAGGUCACAUACUCUUUUUGCCUUCAACUCAUGAACCCUGUACGCAUCUGCAGUGACCAUAUUAAAAUCCAGACAGAUAGACAGUAAAAAGAGCACACAUGCCUUGUGAAAAUGCUAUACAUUUUUAAAGUAAUCAUCAUGUAACUUUUAGUGUCUCUUUUGGAGGAUGUUAUUUAUUGUAAGACAUCAUUUUUAUUAAAUACACUGUAGUACAAGAGACUUUCCAUGUCAGGUUGAGAGAAGCUGGUCACAUGAUUUACAAACAAAACUUUUUUUUUUUUAAACACUGAUAUUCUGGUGUCACUUUGAAAUCAGCCAAGAUGCAGUGGGUCUUAGUAAAGCAAUGGACCUCAAAACAGAUCGCAAAACAAGAACCAGUAAGUAUCAGCACAGAGACGUCACAUUAAAAAGAAAAUAAAGCAAAUAAAAAGAGAGUUCCAAAUACCAGGUCACAAUUUAAAGGGCAAUAUAUCUUCAGAGAGAUAUUGAAAUGUGUGUGUGUAAAUGGCCUGGAUAUAUACAAACAUCUCUCCAUGUACAGAAGCAGAUGCAGAGAGUGUCCCACAUCUCUAGGCAGAUUUGUAAGUGAUAGGUAAUGAUCAGUGAAUGCAGGGAGCAAUAUUUCACAAGAAUUUGGUCAUUUGUCAAGGGAUUACAUAUUUAAAAUCCACAUUUAAUUCAAAGACCUCGUAUUUAAAACAUUUCCAGUUGUUUUAUACAUUAUUAAAGCAAUAGUAAGAUAUACAAGCUGCAAGAUGUAGUAGGCCUUUAUACAUUUCAUUUCAUUUUCUCUGAUUUUUUUUUCCAGUCCAAACAUGUGGCUAUUAGUAGCUUUUAUUAUGCUUGCUCCGUUACAUUGAACGUUCAGCCAACCUUCACUCAGGAUCCUUUUCAUUAAUGCACAGACCAAAGGGGGAAAAAAAAAACCAAACACGGACCUGGCCUAGAAUGCAUAGACUAAAAGAAUGACAUCCCCAUGUGUUUCCAUUUCGUCUCCUGAGACGUAUGUUAAGAUGGCAAAAAGAGUUGCUUGGUUGCUGUUGUGAAUUUCACAGUGUUUUGCCUGCAACACAUAUACACACACAUAUAUAUAUUUUUUUGCUUUGCUUUGUGUUUGUGAUGAAUGGAGCCAAAAAAAUAUAUAAAUAAGUGAAUGAAUGAAUAAAUAAAUAAAUACAUACAUAAAUAAAUACAUAAAUAAAAGUAGAAGGAAAAGGGGGCACAAUGCAAAAACUGAGAAUAUUCAAGAGCCUUUGACUUGAGCAGCAGUGAUUCAUUCUAGCCCUAACAAUGAGAAAAUAGCCUUCCACGUGCUGUCAUAUUUAACUACAAAUCCCUCCCAACCCUAAUUCUUUAGAAGAACAUUUGCUAUCACAACCUGGGAGUCUCUGCAUGCCACAAUUACACACUGUGAAGGAAGUGCUUUAACCUUCAUUAGCCAUUUGAGGAUUGGGUCACCAGCCAUUCCCCAUUUUCUGUAAUGUGUCAAACCGAACUCAGCAUUGGAAACAAAAAUCCUCAAAUGGGAGAAAAAGAGAAAGAGGGAGAGAGAGAGAGAGCAAGAGAAUUAAGGGUGUGUGUGUAUGGAGUCAUUUAUUUAAUUAGAUAUACAGUUUAAAACCAUUGGCAUUAUAGAAGAUUUGCAAAAAGAAAAGGUUAAAAAGAAAAGUCUGUUCUUGACCAGGGGAUCCUUUUGUCAUGGCUCUUUGCAAAGGACAGCAUUUUAUACUGUUGUUGCUUUGCAUUCCCACUCAGACACGGAAAUUCCUAAGAGUCGCUCGCCUUGUGGUGAGGUCUUGGACUUCUCACCACUGACUUUUGAGACACUGGGUUCCCGACAUUCUGAUUCUCUUCUGGAAUGCUUGGACUCUGAACACAAGUGUAAAGGGGUCACAGUGGGACAAGGUGAGCAUGAUACAAAUGUGCAAAAAGAUGGAAAAAAAUCAAUUUUCCUUUCCUGGACCUUUACAUAAGGAGAUCUAUUUCAGUCUGCAUUCUCCUUUGCAAGGAGCCAGGGAAAGGACUCAAUGUAGUGGGAUGGCUUUGAUUCAGUUGUUUUGGGAAGCACAUUACCUUAAAUAUGUCUUCCACCCAUGCAGUACUGCACAGAGUUGAAAAGUGCGAUGUAGUCCUACCCACAUGGAGAAUGGAAGCACUAACCGCAAUAGGGCAUUAAAAAGUUUUGGUUAUUUAGCAGAUUUUAAGCAAAUUAUUCAUACUGCACCCUACUUAGAAUUAUCUCUAUUACUGUGUGCCUAAACAUUUAUACAUAAGCACACAGACACACUGUGCCUGUGUGUCUGUCUAUGUAUAAAUCAAGUAUUUAUAACACACAUAUAAAUACAUGAAAAUACCACAGCGUGGAUGUGAACACAUCUGUAUAAUGUGAAUUCUGAUAUGAUCUUCUAUAGCAUAGUUCAAAAUGCUUUCUAAAUAAGCCUGAUUAUGACGCUGGUUCAGUAUACAAGGACUUCACUGAAGCUAUAAGCAUGAUUAUAUAUCACAAUAUUUCAGCUGCUUGUCAUCUCAGGUAUUUCAUUUUGUUCUUCCAACUUCAUGUCCUGCUUCAUGAAUUUAUCACCGUGCUUGCUUUCUUGGACUGUUUGUCUGAAUCCGGGAGUCUCUAGUGGACAGAAUCAUGAACUUCAGAGUCAGAACACUUAGAUCAAAUCC
Molecule: long non-coding RNA, 3699 nt
Filed under: Canis lupus familiaris (dog)
Lineage: Eukaryota; Metazoa; Chordata; Mammalia; Carnivora; Canidae
Description: lncRNA (ENSCAFG00845005347.1)
Source: RNAcentral